RNAcentral lists this unclassified non-coding RNA (223 nucleotides) under Hevea brasiliensis (rubber tree). The record is from RNAcentral. Lineage: Eukaryota; Viridiplantae; Streptophyta; Magnoliopsida; Malpighiales; Euphorbiaceae.
ACAUGUUAUCUGAUUCUGUAGCAACAUCUCUUCAGCACUCUAAAACAGAAUGCUAAAACUAACAAAAUAAAUACUCUUCCUUAGCAUAGCUCCACAUUUUGAUUGAUCAAGGGGCAAUCACAAUUCGCCCAGCCACUUGGUCAAGAUCCCGUUGACCGCUUGAAGUUAUUCUCCUUCCCCCCUUUGGGUCGAUGUCAACAAUAUUCAUAUUCUGCAAUUGCUG